AGACGACAAACAAGUGAAAAAAACUCUUGAUUCUUUUACGAAUCUCCUGAUUUUGGAAGGAUUUGGCGAAUCCCUUUCUACCUCGUUGCUUUGGAUGUACUGCUCAGCAGUGUCCGGAUGUCAGACUCUGGAAGGAAUUUCUCCCUGGUGGUAGCAGCUAUUUCUGUUCCGAGGAACGCUGAGCACUUUCCAGAUCUUUCUGAGGUCCUUUGCAUCAUCUGACAUUUCUGCAGGCAGUGGUUGCUCAGUGCUGAAUUUGAUGGCAAACUGCAGCUGUGAAGUUACAGGAGACAAGAGAACUUCUCUAUUAGUCG
RNAcentral lists this long non-coding RNA (314 nucleotides) under Gallus gallus (chicken). The record is from RNAcentral. Lineage: Eukaryota; Metazoa; Chordata; Aves; Galliformes; Phasianidae.